CGGAUAUAUCACGUUGAAACACCGGUUUCUGUACGAUCACUGAAGUUAAGCAACGUCGAGCCUGGUCAUUACCUAGAUGGAUGACCGCUUGCGAAUAUUAGGAG
Molecule: non-coding RNA, 104 nt
Organism: Acanthosepion pharaonis
Lineage: Eukaryota; Metazoa; Mollusca; Cephalopoda; Sepiida; Sepiidae
Source: the annotation of a GenBank genome assembly